GCGGACAUAGUUCAAUGGUAGAAUAACAGCCUUCCAAGCUGUAGAUGCGAGUUCAAUUCUCGUUGUCCGCU
This 71-nucleotide transfer RNA is filed under the name Lactobacillus phage 3-521. It matches the Rfam family "tRNA". Rfam says of the family: Transfer RNA (tRNA) molecules are approximately 80 nucleotides in length. Their secondary structure includes four short double-helical elements and three loops (D, anti-codon, and T loops). Lineage: Duplodnaviria; Heunggongvirae; Uroviricota; Caudoviricetes; Herelleviridae. The record is from Rfam by way of RNAcentral.